AGCAGCCGCGGUAAUUCCAGCUCCAAUAGCGUAUAUUAAAGUUGUUGUGGUUAAAAAGCUCGUAGUAGAACCUUGGGCCUGGCUGGCCGGUCCGCCUCACCGCGUGCACUGGUCCGGCCGGGCCUUUCCCUCUGUGGAACCGCAUGCCCUUCACUGGGUGUGCCGAGGAAACAGGACUUUUACUUUGAAAAAAUUAGAGUGCUCCAGGCAGGCCUAUGCUCGAAUACAUUAGCAUGGAAUAAUAGAAUAGGACGUGUGGUUCUAUUUUGUUGGUUUCUAGGACCGCCGUAAUGAUUAAUAGGGACAGUCGGGGGCAUCAGUAUUCAAUUGUCAGAGGUGAAAUUCUUGGAUUUAUUGAAGACUAACUACUGCGAAAGCAUUUGCCAAGGAUGUUUUCAUUUAUCAGGAACGAAAGUUAGGGGAUCGAAGACGAUCAGAUACCGUCGUAGUCUUAACCAUAAACUAUGCCGACUAGGGAUCGGACGAUGUUAUUUUUUGACUCGUUCGGCACCUUACGGG
RNAcentral lists this unclassified non-coding RNA (519 nucleotides) under uncultured Paraglomus. RNAcentral's name for it is "SSU rRNA". It matches the Rfam family "Eukaryotic small subunit ribosomal RNA", at positions 569 to 1094 of the family's 1831-position model. Lineage: Eukaryota; Fungi; Glomeromycota; Glomeromycetes; Paraglomerales; Paraglomeraceae. The record is from RNAcentral.